RNAcentral lists this ribosomal RNA (639 nucleotides) under uncultured archaeon. Its description in RNAcentral is "bacterial SSU rRNA". It matches the Rfam family "Archaeal small subunit ribosomal RNA", at positions 220 to 859 of the family's 1478-position model. The record is from RNAcentral.
GCUGAUUAGGUCGUGGUGGGGGUAAAGGCCCACCAAGCCGAUGAUCGGUACGGGUUGUGAGAGCAAGAGCCCGGAGAUGGAACCUGAGACAAGGUUCCAGACCCUACGGGGUGCAGCAGGCGCGAAACCUCCACAAUGUACGAAAGUGCGAUGGGGGGAUCCCAAGUGCUAUUCUUAACAGAAUAGCUUUUCAUUAGUGUAAAAAGCUUUUAGAAUAAGAGCUGGGCAAGACCGGUGCCAGCCGCCGCGGUAAUACCGGCAGCUCAAGUGGUAGCUGUUUUUAUUGGGCCUAAAGCGUUCGUAGCCGGUUUAAUAAGUCUUUGGUGAAAGCUUGUAGCUUAACUAUAAGAAUUGCUGGAGAUACUAUUAGACUUGAAGUCGGGAGAGGUUAGAGGUACUACCGGGGUAGGGGUGAAAUCCUAUAAUCCUGGGAGGACCACCUGUGGCGAAGGUGUCUAACUAGAACGAUCUUGACGGUGAGUAACGAAAGCCAGGGGCGCGAACCGGAUUAGAUACCCGGGUAGUCCUGGCCGUAAACGAUGUGGACUUGGUGUUGGAAUGGCUUCGAGUUGUUCCAGUGCCGAAGGGAAGCUGUUAAGUCCACCGCCUGGGAAGUACGGUCGCAAGACUGAAACUUAA